AAAAACGACUCUCGGCAACGGAUAUCUCGGCUCACGCAUCGAUGAAGAACGUAGCAAAAUGUGAUACUUGGUGUGAAUUGCAGAAUCCCGUGAAUCAUCGAGUUUUUGAACGCAAGUCGCGCCCAAAACCAUCCGGUUGAGGGCACGCCUGCCUGGGCGUCAC
Molecule: ribosomal RNA, 163 nt
Filed under: Crepidiastrum grandicollum
Lineage: Eukaryota; Viridiplantae; Streptophyta; Magnoliopsida; Asterales; Asteraceae
Description: 5.8S rRNA
Rfam family: 5.8S ribosomal RNA
About the family: 5.8S ribosomal RNA (5.8S rRNA) is a component of the large subunit of the eukaryotic ribosome.
Source: RNAcentral